RNAcentral lists this ribosomal RNA (245 nucleotides) under uncultured bacterium. RNAcentral's name for it is "partial 16S ribosomal RNA". It matches the Rfam family "Bacterial small subunit ribosomal RNA", at positions 16 to 244 of the family's 1533-position model. The record is from RNAcentral.
AUCCUGGCUCAGGAUGAACGCUGGCGGCGUGCCUAACACAUGCAAGUCGAACGAGGUAUUUUGAUUGAAGUUUUCGGAUGGAUUUCAAGAUACCGAGUGGCGGGCGGGUGAGUAACGCGUGGGUAACCUGCCUCAUACAGGGGGAUAACAGUUAGAAAUGGCUGCUAAUACCGCAUAAGCGCACGGUACUGCAUGGUACAGUGUGAAAAACUCCGGUGGUAUGAGAUGGACCCGCGUUGGAUUAG